This 396-nucleotide ribosomal RNA is filed under the name uncultured Exophiala. RNAcentral describes it as "partial small subunit ribosomal RNA". It matches the Rfam family "Eukaryotic small subunit ribosomal RNA", at positions 30 to 432 of the family's 1831-position model. Lineage: Eukaryota; Fungi; Ascomycota; Eurotiomycetes; Chaetothyriales; Herpotrichiellaceae. The record is from RNAcentral.
GCUUGUCUCAAAGAUUAAGCCAUGCAUGUCUAAGUAUAAGCACUUAUACCGUGAAACUGCGAAUGGCUCAUUAAAUCAGUUAUCGUUUAUUUGAUAGUACCUUUACCUGGAUAACCGUGGUAAUUCUAGAGCUAAUACAUGCUAAAAACCCCGACUUCGGGAGGGGUGUAUUUAUUAGAUAAAAAACCAAUGCCCUUCGGGGCUCCUUGGUGAUUCAUAAUAACUUAACGAAUCGCAUGGCCUUGCGCCGGCGAUGGUUCAUUCAAAUUUCUGCCCUAUCAACUUUCGAUUGUAGGAUAGAGGCCUACAAUGGUCUUAACGGGUAACGGGGAAUUAGGGUUCUAUUCCGGAGAGGGAGCCUGAGAAACGGCUACCACAUCCAAGGAAGGCAGCAGG